GCCUUGGCUUCAUCAGGCGACGAAGGACGCAGCAAGCUGCGAUAAGCUUCGGGGAGCGGCACGCACGCUUUGAUCCGAAGAUUUCCGAAUGGGGAAACCCGGCACCGGUCAUUCGGUGUCAUUCCGGUCUGAAUUCAUAGGACCGGUAAAGCGACACGCGGAGAAGUGAAACAUCUCAGUAUCCGCAGGAAAAUAACGAGAAUCGAUUCCGUAAGUAGUGGCGAGCGAAAGCGGAACAGCCCAAACCGUCGGGAUUUAUCCUGGCGGGGUUGUAGGACCACAAUGUGGGAUGCGACGAUUAGACGAACACUCUGGAAAGUGUGACCAUAGCGGGUGACAGUCCCGUAGUUUAAAAUCUUAGCAAACCUAGUGGUAUCCUGAGUAGCACCGUACACGUGAAAUCCGGUGUGAAUCCAUGCCGACCACGGCAUAAGGCUAAAUACUCGAUGAAGACCGACAGUGAACUAGUACCGCGAGG
This 478-nucleotide ribosomal RNA is filed under the name uncultured bacterium. RNAcentral describes it as "bacterial LSU rRNA". It matches the Rfam family "Bacterial large subunit ribosomal RNA", at positions 31 to 508 of the family's 2925-position model. The record is from RNAcentral.